ACAGAGGGUGCGAGCGUUAAUCGGAAUUACUGGGCGUAAAGCGUGCGUAGACGGUUAUUUAAGUCGGAUGUGAAAGCCCCGGGCUCAACCUGGGAAUUGCAUUCGAGACUGAAUAGCUAGGGUACGGUAGAGGGAAGUGGAAUUUCCGGUGUAGCGGUGAAAUGCGUAGAUAUCGGAAGGAACAUCAGUGGCGAAGGCGGCUUUCUGGCCCAACACUGACGCUGAGGUGCGAAAGCGUGGGGAGCAAACAGGA
Molecule: ribosomal RNA, 253 nt
Filed under: uncultured prokaryote
Description: partial 16S ribosomal RNA
Rfam family: Bacterial small subunit ribosomal RNA
Source: RNAcentral